This 691-nucleotide ribosomal RNA is filed under the name uncultured bacterium. RNAcentral's name for it is "bacterial SSU rRNA". It matches the Rfam family "Bacterial small subunit ribosomal RNA", at positions 32 to 715 of the family's 1533-position model. The record is from RNAcentral.
AACGCUAGCUACAGGCUUAACACAUGCAAGUCGAGGGGCAGCAUUGGAGUAGCAAUACUUCAGAUGGCGACCGGCGCACGGGUGAGUAACACGUAUCCAACCUGCCGCUUACUCGGGGAUAGCCUUUCGAAAGAAAGAUUAAUACCCGAUGGUAUAAAGAGUUCGCAUGUUCUCUUUAUUAAAGAGUUUCGGUAAGCGAUGGGGAUGCGUUCCAUUAGAUAGUUGGCGGGGUAACGGCCCACCAAGUCUACGAUGGAUAGGGGUUCUGAGAGGAAGGUCCCCCACAUUGGAACUGAGACACGGUCCAAACUCCUACGGGAGGCAGCAGUGAGGAAUAUUGGUCAAUGGGCGAGAGCCUGAACCAGCCAAGUAGCGUGAAGGAUGACUGCCCUAUGGGUUGUAAACUUCUUUUAUAAGGGAAUAAAGUGAGGGACGUGUCCCUUUUUGUAUGUACCUUAUGAAUAAGGAUCGGCUAACUCCGUGCCAGCAGCCGCGGUAAUACGGAGGAUCCAAGCGUUAUCCGGAUUUAUUGGGUUUAAAGGGAGCGUAGGUUGACAUAUAAGUCAGCUGUGAAAGUUUACGGCUCAACCGUGAAAUUGCAGUUGAUACUGUAUGUCUUGAGUGUACAAGAGGUGGGCGGAAUUCGUGGUGUAGCGGUGAAAUGCUUAGAUAUCACGAAGAACUCCGAUUG